Molecule: long non-coding RNA, 3293 nt
Organism: Podarcis muralis (Common wall lizard)
Lineage: Eukaryota; Metazoa; Chordata; Lepidosauria; Squamata; Lacertidae
Source: Ensembl
GAGAAAGUUGCUUCAUGACACCUUUCUGUCAGUUUAACUGAAGCACAAGAAGCCACAAAGGCUGGCUUCCAAGUGCCUCAGAUGAGUGCAGUCACAGAUAUUUUUCUUCUUUCCUUUUUGAAAAGAGAAGUCCUUUUCACAUUUUUGCUGAUUUCUUAAGAAGUAAAAACACUUUAAAACAAACAACUGCCAAACACAUGGUAGGCAGCACCUCCCCCCCCCCAAGCUUACAGGAAGGACAAGCUGGGGAGGCCAUCGUGUUUUCAGGAAAUGCAAGCGGUCAGGACUCUGGAGAGAUGCCUUCUCAUGGACUUUGAUUGAAGUGUGGGCACCUGGGAAGGCUGCACAGACCAGACAAUGGUGAGAUGAUUUGUAGAAUGAAGGAUGAAAUACCCUUUCUUGAUGACCUCAAAAGUAAGGAAAGAAAACAAGAAAGAAGAUGAAACCCAUCAGCUCACAUCAAAAAUACAAUUAGCAUCAGUUGGUGUUGGCAUCUGUCUGUCUUGGGAGACAAUGGAGGAGUGCAACGUUGGGGGUGAAGUCAAACAAACAGAGCCUGUUGAGGCAGGAGAGACCAAUAAGGAGAGACAUGUUUUGUUGCUGCUGGGGCAGAUGGAGACAUCUGGUUCUGCUGUUGCAGAUGCACAUGGUGUUUCUUCUCUCUGCAGUCUUCCCAAUGGUCAUUCCUCCUCGGGUCACUGCUGUGGAUACACAACCUGGCUGUCUAUCUCUGGACACUAUGGUUGUCUGCAGUGGAUUCCCACAUUUUGCGGGAAUCUUUGUAAUGCAUUGAUGCCAAAAUCCAGCAUCACCUGAGCUCUGCGAAUGUGGCUUUCUCGCAAUUGAAGUGCAGAGUGUUUGAGGAGUGGGACAUCCGCAGGGAAACCAAAAUGCUUGUUUACCAAGCUAUUGCACUCCCAACCAUACUUGUGAAACAUGGACCACUUAUAAACGCCAUCUCCAGCUCCUCAAAAGAUUCCAUCAAUGGUGUUUCUGAAAAUUUUUGCACAUCACUUGGGAAGACAGGUGAACUAAUAUCCGUGUACUGGAAGAAGCAAAGAUCACCAGUGUUGAAGCAAUUAUUCUUCAACAUCAACAUCGUUAGAUGUUGUGUGGAUGCCUGAUUAUCAUCUUCCAAAACAACUACUCUAUUUUGAACUUUAAAAUGGAAAGCGUAAUGCUGGUGGUCAACAAAGGAGGUUUAAAGACUCUCUCAAGGCAAAUCUUUAAAAAUGUAAUAUAAACACCGACAACCGGGAAACAGCUCUGCUCUUCCUCUUGCCCUCAAGGCAGAGGCUACUUGUGAUUCCAGUAAGAGAAGCCUAUAUACCAUGAACCUUGAUCUUUACACCCGUUCAUCCAUUUUUUCAACCUUUACUGUAAUCACUGCAGAAUUUCACCACCUGGACUUUAAGCCUGAUGAAUGAAAGGUCAGGCCAUUUUAGGUUUGGGGGUGUGAUUGUUUUUCCAGCCUUUUUUCAUUCUGUGAUGCCGUCAGUCUUUGUGAAACAUUUCAAACAUAAGGAAACUGAAACUGGUCUGAGAUUUUCAUCCAUUGGUCUGAGAUUUUAGCUGUUUUUGCUCCUUUUUCUUUUCUCCAGAAAAACAAGAAAGAAAGGAAUGUGACCUCUGUUGACUACUUCAAACCACCACUUGAUGAGUUUUAGUGUUCUGUGCAUUUAAUCUUUACAAGUCCAUCAUUUAACUGCAAUGCUCGAUUCUUUCUGAUGGCUCAUAUAAUUGGCUUCAACAGCUAAUGGAUUUGUUUAUAUGAGCAGCUGACUUUUAAGAUUAGCAUGCCACACUGCUGUCUCGCGUAGUGAUAUAUUACUCAUGCAAGCAGAGCAAAAGGGAAGGGAAGGGUAGAAAUCCCUUUCAGAUCUUAAAAAACUUCUGCCUAGUUCACACCACCAGGAGUGAAAAGCCCCCAGAAAGAAUUCAUGGUAGUCUAGUGAAAAUCACAGGGUCCGUGCAGCAAGAUUAAGAUUUCAGAUUCUUCUCAUCGUGAGUUUUACUGCUGGGAUUUUAAGUUCUAAAUUAUCUGCCAUGUUUCCAAAGUAAAGUGUAUGCAUUAGCAAUUCCCCAUUAUUCCAACUUUUCAUUUCUGCAUUUUGUACACAGUUUGACACAGCGUUCCGUUCCUUCUUUCAUACUUUCUCCCAUGCACGCAUGCCCACAUUGAUAAAAUACUACAAUAAACGCAAUCUUGAUGCAACCGUGUGUGUAUUGAUAAAACCAGUGCCAUUUUCUAUAGAAAAGGGUGCCGGAACUCAAUAUGAACACCUCCCUUGAUCUCUUGCAAUGGCACCCACCUGAGAGGUGCUGAAACUAAGUUCCAGUGUGAUCCAGCUGAAAAAAAUAUCCCUGAAUAAAACAUCACAUAAAAGGCAAUGCAGAUGUGAUUGUACACGUGGCUGUAUCAACUCUUUCAUGUGUGUGGCAUUUACCAAGGUACGAAAGUGUGUGUGAGCACACCAGCAAAGCACUGCACAAACUGUUGAUGAAAUUAUACUUAUGAUCAGAUGACAGUUAUCUUUUGUUGCAUUUUACCCUGGGUAUAAGGUGUGUAUAUACAUUUAAAAAAAAUAAUAUUUUGCACAGAUGCAUGCAUCAGUAACACAGUGGGGAAAACAAACUGGAAGUACAAUUCUAUGAUUCUAUGAAGUUGCGUCAAUGUGAACAUGCUGCUGAUGGUUUGUGUGAAAACCAAUAUCCCAGCGACUUUGGAGUAAAAAAAAAAAGGCACUAGAAUCACUACACACACAGACCCCUGCUCUUUGAUGUGGUAUAGCAAAGGAACAGUUUUACGGCAUGAGGAGUGGUUAGCCUAAAGACCUUCUGGUGUGCCCCACCAAGCUAUACUUCAUUUCUAAACUAGGAGGUGAGAAUAAGACAAGGCAGAUUGUACCACCUGAAAGCCUGUUGUGCAGAUCUGUGAAUUAUGGCUGCAGUAGAAAGAGGGAGAAAACACAGCUCAAGCUUAUUCAACCAAAAUGACAAAGCAAUAAAAUGCCCUUUUAAAAUGGAUAACCUUCAUAUAAUGCAUAACCUUAGUACAGUAUAUGCAUUUUUGCACAAAACGCCGAGCUGCAUUGCAAAAUUUCCAGAAGUGCAAAUUUCAUUAUAUAUGUAUUUUUUUCAGGUUUACGCAUUUCAAUGAUUUUACAGUCAUUUUAACAUUUCAAAACUUGACUUCCUUCCCCCUCUUUCUAUGGUUCCUUAAUUUAUUUUUAAUAUUUUCUGCAUAUCCAAAUUAACUUAAUUUGUUUGUUUAUUCAUCUACUUUAAAUAUA